AGUGAACGCUGGCGGUAGGCCUAACACAUGCCAGUCGAACGGCAGCACAGUAAGAGCUUGCUCUUACGGGUGGCGAGUGGCGGACGGGUGAGGAAUACAUCGGAAUCUACUUUUUCGUGGGGGAUAACGUAGGGAAACUUACGCUAAUACCGCAUACGACCUACGGGUGAAAGCAGGGGAUCUUCGGACCUUGCGCGAUUGAAUGAGCCGAUGUCGGAUUAGCUAGUUGGCGGGGUAAAGGCCCAACAAGGCGACGAUCCGUAGCUGGUCUGAGAGGAUGAUCAGCAACACUGGAACUGAGACAGGGUCCAGACUCCUACGGGAGGCAGCAGUGGGGAAUAUUGGACAAUGGGCGCAAGCCUGAUCCAGCCAUACCGCGUGGGUGAAGAAGACCUUCGGGUUGUAAAGCCCUUUUGUUGGGAAAGAAAAGCAGCAGGUUAAUACCCCGCUGUUCUGACGGUACCAAAAGAAUAAGCACCGGCUAACUUCGUG
This 492-nucleotide ribosomal RNA is filed under the name uncultured bacterium. Its description in RNAcentral is "partial 16S ribosomal RNA". It matches the Rfam family "Bacterial small subunit ribosomal RNA", at positions 29 to 507 of the family's 1533-position model. The record is from RNAcentral.